GCCCUAGUAGCUCAGCUUAGAGCGCCGGUCUUGUAAUCCGGAGGCCGGAGGUAGAUUCCUCCCUAGUGCU
This 70-nucleotide transfer RNA is filed under the name Lestidium atlanticum (Atlantic barracudina). RNAcentral describes it as "tRNA-Thr". It matches the Rfam family "tRNA". From Rfam's summary of the family: Transfer RNA (tRNA) molecules are approximately 80 nucleotides in length. Their secondary structure includes four short double-helical elements and three loops (D, anti-codon, and T loops). Further hydrogen bonds mediate the characteristic L-shaped molecular structure. tRNAs have two regions of fundamental functional importance: the anti-codon, which is responsible for specific mRNA codon recognition, and the 3' end, to which the tRNAs corresponding amino acid is attached (by aminoacyl-tRNA synthetases). tRNAs cope with the degeneracy of the genetic code in two manners: having more than one tRNA (with a specific anti-codon) for a particular amino acid; and 'wobble' base-pairing, i.e. permitting non-standard base-pairing at the 3rd anti-codon position. The record is from RNAcentral. Lineage: Eukaryota; Metazoa; Chordata; Actinopteri; Aulopiformes; Paralepididae.